RNAcentral lists this ribosomal RNA (460 nucleotides) under uncultured bacterium. Its description in RNAcentral is "partial 16S ribosomal RNA". It matches the Rfam family "Bacterial small subunit ribosomal RNA", at positions 338 to 795 of the family's 1533-position model. The record is from RNAcentral.
CCUACGGGUGGCAGCAGUGAGGAAUAUUGGUCAAUGGCCGGAAGUCUGAACCAGCCAAGUCGCGUGAGGGAUGAAUGCCCUAUGGGUCGUAAACCUCUUUUGUCGGGGAAUAAAAUGUUCCACGUGUGGGCUUCUGUAGGUACCAUGUGAAUAAGGAUCGGCUAACUCCGUGCCAGGAGCCGCGGUAAUACGGAGGAUUCGAGCGUUAUCCGGAUUUGUUGGGUUUAAAGGGUGCGGCGGCGGGUCGUUAAGGCAGUGGUGAAAGUUUGCGGCUCAAACGCCAAAUUGCGGUUGAAACUGGGAGUCUUGAGUAGAGUAGAGGUAGGCGGAAUGCGUGGUGUAGCGGUGAAAUGCAUAGAUAUCACGCAGAACCCCGAUUGCGAAGGCAGCGUACCGGGCUGCAACUGACACUGAGGCACGAAAGUGCGGGGAUCAAACAGGAUUAGAUACCCGGGUAGUC